UACGUAGGGUGCGAGCGUUAAUCGGAAUUACUGGGCGUAAAGUGUGCGCAGGCGGCAGAGCAAGUCGAGUGUGAAAGCCCCGGGCUUAACUUGGGAAUUGCGCUCGAAACUACUUUGCUGGAGUGUGGCAGAGGAAGGUGGAAUUCCACGUGUAGCGGUGAAAUGCGUAGAGAUGUGGAGGAACACCAAUGGCGAAGGCAGCCUUCUGGGCCAACACUGACGCUCAUGCACGAAAGCGUGGGGAGCAAAAGGG
This 253-nucleotide ribosomal RNA is filed under the name uncultured bacterium. RNAcentral's name for it is "partial 16S ribosomal RNA". It matches the Rfam family "Bacterial small subunit ribosomal RNA", at positions 524 to 776 of the family's 1533-position model. The record is from RNAcentral.